This is a long non-coding RNA of Uranotaenia lowii, 470 nucleotides long. RefSeq lists it as uncharacterized. The transcript has 3 exons. NCBI's taxonomy places the organism in Eukaryota, Metazoa, Arthropoda, Insecta, Diptera, Culicidae. The record is from RefSeq and is a predicted model, not a curated record.
CGGAAGGUCGGGAUAGGGAUUCUGUUGCCCGGAUUUCUAUUCGGAACCCCUGCACGGUGCACCUGGGUCCGUUGCUGCAGCUACUUUGGCGUCCGCCUCUAUUUCAACAAGAGUUGCAGUCGGAUGCGCCGCACCAGGACGGGAAAAAGCUCCGGAAAUUUAACCUCGAGCGACGAAUCCAUCGGAAACUAAUCGAAGACAGCUCCUCAAGGCAAAGACAGCGAAUAAACAACCCUUAUCGACUUGUGAGACGACGGCAGUAAAAAUGUCCAGGGUUAUUCCCGUACCACGGAUGUCGAAGAGCACCUGACUGGUGGUAUGUUGCUGGUCAUGGUCGCUAGCCACUUUGCUUGGAGGAGAAAUAAAAAAAUGUACGGAUAACUACACAGAGUAUUAAAAUAUGAAGAAUUAUGUUCAGAAUCUUUAAAAAUUUAUUACAUAAUAUUUUUGUUAAUAAAAGUGUAAAAUCC